ACUAGGCACUUGCCUGUGGCGCCAUCAUCCUGGGGGCACCUUCGUCCCAGGAGGAUGGCACCACCCCCAACCUACUUCUCCUUUGGGCCAUCUGGCGGCUGCGCUGGGCCUCCUGGCGGCCACACUGGGUUUCCUGGUGCCCGUCCUGGGCCUCCCGCCUUCGUGCCAUGCAGGCCCACCUUUGGGGCCUUCAGAGAUUGUGAGGUCUGUGGGAACUUGGAAGCUAGGAACUGCAAACUCCUAAGGGCUGGAAAGGGCUGUGUCAAAUAAGGCAGCCAUAUCUAAUCACACCAAAGCAACAGCUCCUGGUCUAUUAAUAUGCCACUUUGCACAAGACGUAUUGUCUAGCACUACAGAGUGAGGAAAGGUGGUGAUGAAGAGCAUUUUCAGACCUCAGGUUCUUCUGUAAAGUCCCAAAGUAACUCUGCAUAAUUAAUCACACAGAGAGAAAAGCAAAUUCAAAGAUGAGGGUCAAAUUAGCAUAAAAUUAAAUCAGAACUUGGAAAACGACUUUUGAAAGGAGUCUGUUCCUGCUGCACGUUACAGAGGUUGAAGUCUGUUUGCUGCAAUGCUGAAAAAAUACCAUUGGCAUUAUUUGCUGCACUGUUUGCUACAUUUCUGUUUUUGUGUAUCCCUAAUCUGAAAUACUUCAGACCAAAACCAUUUUGGAUAUUGGAUUAUUUUUUUUUCUUGGAAGAUUUACAUAUACCUAAUAAGAUAUUGUGCAGAUGAGACCCAAGUCUAUACACAAACUUCAUUUGUUACAUAUGCAACUUAUAUGCAUAUCUCAAAGGUAAUUUUAUACAAUUUUUUUUUUAUAAUUUUGUAUACACUGAAUACAAAAGUGUCACUAUCUCAGCCACCUAGGUAGACAAUUUUGGAUUUUGAGGAUUUUAGAAUUAUUUAUGAAGGAUGCACAAUCUAUUCUUUCCAUAAUUUUGUUGAAACAAAAAAAAAACACAGCCAAAAACAUUUGAAAUUCCUGUGAAAACAUUCCCAAAAGACUGUUGAAAAGUGACAUUGAAAGAAAUUAACUAGAAUCCACUUUUAGUUAUUACUGUGCCAAUAAAAUAAUUUGUUUUUACUCAUUGGUAGUACAUAGUUCCAUAGUUAGAGCUGAUGAAUAAAUUAUAUUAAGCAAAAAUA
Long non-coding RNA from Anolis carolinensis (green anole), 1146 nucleotides. RefSeq lists it as uncharacterized. The record is from RefSeq and is a predicted model, not a curated record. The transcript has 3 exons. Lineage: Eukaryota; Metazoa; Chordata; Lepidosauria; Squamata; Anolidae.